RNAcentral lists this ribosomal RNA (460 nucleotides) under uncultured bacterium. RNAcentral describes it as "partial 16S ribosomal RNA". It matches the Rfam family "Bacterial small subunit ribosomal RNA", at positions 338 to 795 of the family's 1533-position model. The record is from RNAcentral.
CCUACGGGAGGCAGCAGUGAGGAAUAUUGGUCAAUGGGCGCGAGCCUGAACCAGCCAAGUAGCGUGAAGGAUGACUGCCCUACGGGUUGUAAACUGCUUUUGUACGAGGGUAAACGCAGAUACGCGUAUCUGUCUGAAAGUAUCGUACGAAUAAGGAUCGGCUAACUCCGUGCCAGCAGCCGCGGUAAUACGGAGGAUUCAAGCGUUAUCCGGAUUUAUUGGGUUUAAAGGGUGCGUAGGCGGUCGGAUAAGUUAGAGGUGAAAGCCCGAGGCUCAACUUCGGAAUUGCCUCGGAUACUGUUCGGCUAGAGAGUAGUUGAGGUAGGCGGAAUGUAUGGUGUAGCGGUGAAAUGCUUAGAGAUCAUACAGAACACCGAUUGCGAAGGCAGCUUACCAGGCUACUUCUGACGUUGAGGCACGAAAGCGUGGGGAGCAAACAGGAUUAGAUACCCGAGUAGUC